AGUGAACGCUGGCGGUAGGCCUAACACAUGCAAGUCGAACGGCAGCACAGUAAGAGCUUGCUCUUACGGGUGGCGAGUGGCGGACGGGUGAGGAAUACAUCGGAAUCUACUUUUUCGUGGGGGAUAACGUAGGGAAACUUACGCUACUACCGCAUACGACCUACGGGUUAAAGCAGGAGAUCUUCGGACCUUGCGCGACUGAAUGAGACGAUGUCGGAUUAGCUAGUUGGCGGGGUAAAGGCCCACCAAGGCGACGAUCCGUAGCUGGUCUGAGAGGAUGAUCAGCCACACUGGAACUGAGACACGGUCCAGACUCCUACGGGAGGCAGCAGUGGGGAAUCUUCCACAAUGGGCGAAAGCCUGACGGAGCAACGCCGCGUGAGUGAUGAAGGUCUUCGGAUCGUAAAACUCUGUUAUUAGGGAAGAACAAAUGUGUAAGUAACUAUGCACGUCUUGACGGUACCUAAACAGAAAGCCCCGGCUAACUACGUG
This 492-nucleotide ribosomal RNA is filed under the name uncultured bacterium. Its description in RNAcentral is "partial 16S ribosomal RNA". It matches the Rfam family "Bacterial small subunit ribosomal RNA", at positions 29 to 507 of the family's 1533-position model. The record is from RNAcentral.